Molecule: ribosomal RNA, 518 nt
Filed under: Lacticaseibacillus casei
Lineage: Bacteria; Bacillati; Bacillota; Bacilli; Lactobacillales; Lactobacillaceae
Description: bacterial SSU rRNA
Rfam family: Bacterial small subunit ribosomal RNA
Source: RNAcentral
AUGCGGGUGCUAUAAUGCAGUCGACGAGUUCUCGUUGAUGAUCGGUGCUUGCACCGAGAUUCAACAUGGAACGAGUGGCGGACGGGUGAGUAACACGUGGGUAACCUGCCCUUAAGUGGGGGAUAACAUUUGGAAACAGAUGCUAAUACCGCAUAGAUCCAAGAACCGCAUGGUUCUUGGCUGAAAGAUGGCGUAAGCUAUCGCUUUUGGAUGGACCCGCGGCGUAUUAGCUAGUUGGUGAGGUAAUGGCUCACCAAGGCGAUGAUACGUAGCCGAACUGAGAGGUUGAUCGGCCACAUUGGGACUGAGACACGGCCCAAACUCCUACGGGAGGCAGCAGUAGGGAAUCUUCCACAAUGGACGCAAGUCUGAUGGAGCAACGCCGCGUGAGUGAAGAAGGCUUUCGGGUCGUAAAACUCUGUUGUUGGAGAAGAAUGGUCGGCAGAGUAACUGUUGUCGGCGUGACGGUAUCCAACCAGAAAGCCACGGCUAACUACGUGCCACACCCCGCGGUAAAA